GUCAUAUUAGCAGCACGUUCUUAUGAUGGCGACGAAGAUAUACUUAAGUAUAAUAUGUGCAAUAUUUAUUUCCCUCGUCGGACAGUGUAAACCGGCAAUCUGGCAGAGUGUCGGAGAGAAUAAAUGCUACACAGCCUAUGCAACGCAAGUUAUGAGAUUUUUGAUUGCUUCACAAUGUAACAACCUAGGGUGGAACCUGUUGUCCCAAACGAUAUACAAAGCAACAACUAUAUUCUUGAGGUUGUCAGUACUUUUCUUAACCUAACAAAUUGUCAACCAGGCGGAAACACUACUGAUAAUUGCUAUGUUUGGCUAGAACUAAUCAUUUUUUAUGGAACUCUGAAAAGAGAUGAUAAUUCUCAAGCUGAAUUUUCAAAUUGGGAAUAUGGAUAUCCAUCUAAAGAAAAAUAUGCUUAUGUUGCAAUGAAUAUUCUCAAUGGAAAGUGGAUAGAUGUAGAAUUUAACGACCCAAGACAUUAUGGAGUCGUACUGGAAAACUAUGAGUGCAAAAUGUUACCGGGUUCCGGAUACGACAUGGUAAACGAUGGGGAUGAUGAUUUAAAAAUGGCCUUUAUAUGUGUAGGAGCAGCAAUGUUCCUAAUAUGCGUUAUAGAAUUUUACUAUAUAAUAAUGUUAAAAAGGAAACAUCGGAAGACUAACUCAAGAAAUGAAGUUUCACAUCGGACACAGCGGCAAUCAAGCUUGGAAAAGAAUAUUUUAUAUAGCAUGGUAAGAACAAAAAUAAAUAUUACACUUUAAAUUUCAAAAUGACGUUAUUCAUUUUGUUGUCAAUAAAAGAAUUUCACAUCUUG
Styela clava is the source of this 812-nucleotide non-coding RNA. The record is from RefSeq and is a predicted model, not a curated record. NCBI's taxonomy places the organism in Eukaryota, Metazoa, Chordata, Ascidiacea, Stolidobranchia, Styelidae.